CCCAGGCAGGCUCUGCACUGGCAGUAUGGAGUCCAAUGUGGGGCUUGAACCCAUGAACUGUGAGAUCAUGACCUGAGCCAAAACCAGGAGUUGGACGCUUAACCAACUGAACCGCCCAGGUGUCCCUUUGUGUAUCUCUUCAUGGGCCUCAAAGUUAAUUGGUCUGUGAUGGAGCUUAGCAAUCAAGAAAUUUUAAAAGCUCCCAGGUGAUGCAGCUAGGGUGGCAAAACUAUCGAUUCAGACCCUAAAGCAGAGGCUCUCAAAUUUGAACGUGCAUCAGAACCCCCUGCAGAGCUCAUCAAAAUAGGAAUUGCUGGGCCUCACCCCCACGCUUUCCAAUUCAGAAGGUUUGAGUUAGGCCCUAAGAUUUUGCAGUUUUUACAAGUUCCUGGGUGACGCUGAUGUGCUGGUCUGGGGACCACUCUUUGGUAACUACUGAGCAGGAAGAAAACAGUCAUGAGGUAAUGCUGGAAGGGGAUUCCUACCAUAUGUAAUGGGGAAGUAGAACCACCAUCUGGGCUGGGAGGGGGAGGGGAGAGAGAGGAAGUGAGGUAAGAGAUUAGGUUUAAGAGUCCUCAUUCUUACUUCCUGGAGGAAGUAGCUAACGCCAGUGAGCUGUAGGAGCCUCCACCAAGGUUCUGGGGACUCAGAGAGUUGGUAUUCAGUUUACCAUAACACAGCCUGGAGGGAUUGCAUGUCUCGUGGAGAAACCCACGUUGGCACCCAGUGCAUCAGUAUGGCAUGGCAGUGGUAGAUUAACCAAGACUGAGGGAAGAUCUGGGGUGAGGGUGGCCUCAGGGGCAGCCUCCCAGAGUCCAGACUGCUGCAGAAAAGUCCCCUGGCAUUUACAACAAUCCACCCACCCCUACCCCCAUCCCGGGGACCAUUAGAAGUCUGGGGCUGGGAAGAAACACAAGCAAUCACAGGGACACAGGCAGGACCCACAGCCACUGGGAAUGGGUUCCAGCGUGAGAUCCAGGAGCCAGUACAGUCCAGACCAGCAUAGACCUGCCACUUCUCAGCGAAAAGCAGCAAGAACAGAAGGCCACAUGCAGAGCAGGGCCAGGACUAGGGUCAGGCAAAGGAGGCACCUGGGACACAAAAUUUAAGGGUAGUACAAAUACAGGGUCAGCCCUCACCCUAGCCCCCAUCCCUGUGCAAAGACAAGAGGGAUGAGACCCCCCCUAAACGGAGGUCCCACAGACUCAAUGAUCUCCCUACAAUGCUGUUGGGAUUCUGACAUGUUCUCUGCAUCUGUCAUGGAAAAGGCUCAGAGCUGGGGACACCCCUGGAGCUGGUGGAAAGUGUUCUAUUCACUCCGUCUCCUGGAAGAAGGCUGUUUUCAAUCAGAAGAGACUGGGUUAUCAUUAACAGAGCCCUGAAAAUGAUGCACAUCCAGUCCUGUAUAAGCAGAAGAGUGAGGAGCGGAGGGGGCUUGGCAGACCCUGAGUGCCCACCCCCGUGGGCCAGCCAGCGACCAUCACCUUGGGAUCCCGUGCUUUCCCAGAAUCAUUCAACACUUGUAAUUCCUCUUGAAUGAAGAGAGAGGACACGGAUGUGUAUGGCGCUGUCUUUAAGAAGGAAAAAUCGGGGCGCCUGGGUGACUCAGUCAUUAAGCAUCUGACUUCGGCUCGGGGCACGAUCUCACAGUUUGUGAGUUCGAGUCCCACAUCGGAUGAGCUCAAGCCCCACUUCAGUUUCGAUGGGCCAGGAGUCUGGGCAUGACUGAGCUGGGUCCUCUGCUUCAGGGUCUCCCACAAGUCUGUAGUCAAGAGGUGAGCUGGGCUGGGGUCUCACCUGAAGGUUCAACCAGGGAAGUAUCCAUUUUAUUUUAUUUUUUAUGUUUAUUUGUUUUGAGAGAGAGUGAGUACGUGUGAGCAGGGGAGGGGCAGAGGGAGAGGGGGAGAGAGAAUCCCAAGUAGGCUCUGUGCUGUCAGUGAAGAGCCCUGUGUAGGGCUUGAACUCACAAACUGUGAGAUCAUGACCUGAGCCGAAAUCAAGAGUCGGGCAGUUAACCAAUGGAGCCACCCAUGUACCCCUGUUGUCAGAAUUUUAGCUCCUCUAGGACUAUUGGACUGGAGUGGGGCGGGGGAGGGGGUGUCUCAGUUUCUAGCUGGGUAUCCUUAUCUCCUGGCCAUGUGGGUCUCUCCAACAUGGAAGCUUGCGUCAUGCAGAAAGAGCCAGCUACCAAGACAGAAAUUACUGCCUUAUGUAACCUAAUCACAGAAGUGACAUCUCAUCACCUGUGAUAAGUUCUGCCCAUAUUGAAUGGGAGGAUUUUAUGCAAGGAUGUCAAUACCAGGGGCAGAAUCAUUAUGGGCCAUCUCGUAGGCUGCCUGCAUAGAGGUGAACGAGUGAGCAAGCCAAGGGGGAGCUCAGAGGGAGGAGUGUUAACAGGAGGAAGAAACAAGUGCAAAGGCCCUGGGGCAGGAACUUGUCUGGGGUGUUCAAGAAACAGUGAGGAGGUCAUUGUGUCUGGAGUGGAAUGUGCAAGGGGUAGGGAAGCAGAGGUGAGGACAGCGGGGGAGCUAAUGAGGGGCCAGGUUAUGUGGGACCUUUUUAACUUUUACCUUAGAUGAGAGUUGCUGGAGGGUUUCAGGUGGAGGAAUGACAUGAGCUGGCAUUUGUUCUGGAUCCUCGAUCCUCCAAGUGUGGUCUGUGGCCCACUCUUAAAGGCUGUUAGAAAUGUGGAAUCUUAGGAUCUACUGCCCCAGACCUGAUGAGUCAGAGACUGCAUUUAACAAGAUCCCCAGGUGAUGGGGCACCUAGGUGGCUCAGUCGGUUGAGCAUCCAACUUUGGCUCAGGUCAUGAUCUUGGGUUCUUGAGUUCCUGAGCUUGAACCCCAUGUGGGGAUCUCUGAUGCCAGUGCAGAGCCCGCUUUGGAUUCUCUGACCCCCUCUCUCUGCCCCUCCCCAACUUGCGCUCUCUCAAAAAUAAAAACUAAAACAUUAAAAAACAAAACAAGAACAUAAGAUCGCCAGGUGAGUGGAAUGCACAGUGAAGUUGGAAACUUAGUGGUUCUCACCCUUCAGCCAGCAUCAGAAUUACCUGGAUGGAGUGUUUGUUGAAACACAGCUUGCUGGUUCCCCUCCCCCAACCUGCAGAGUUUCUGAUUCACUAGGUGCAGGGUGGGGACUGAGAGUCUGCAUUUCUAGCAAGGUCCCAGAGCUGCUGAUGUUGCUGGACCAGGGACCAUGCUUUGAGAACCACUGGUCUACAGUGCGCCUGGCACCAGGGCGCAGGGCUGAGGAAGGACAGAAUCUUUCCUUUGAAGCUGUCCAGAGCAUCAGACCCUGCUGCUGGCCUCUGGGGGAAGAUGACACAUCAGACUCAAAGCUCUUUCCUUGUCAUAUGUCCUACGAAGGUGGAUUUUAUAUGCUGCCCCUUAAAACCACAUCUGUGCCAUCACACUCGUGUGUCCCCUGGCUCUCUGUUCUGUUUGUGCAGUUAAAUCCCAUCUCUGUUUCUCCUGUAUGUGGUGCAGAGAGGGAACAGGUGGUCACCAGUGCCCUGCUAAUAGCUCUUCAGAUGUUUGCAGCCCAUUAUUAAAUCGCCCUCAGAGUUUCCUUCUUGAAGACUAAAUAAUUAGCUACCCUUUUCUGAAUCAUGGGGUGGAGAGGUGAAUGUAGUCACCAGCCUCAGACGGGGGCAUAUGUGGUAGAAAAUCUUGAACCAGUGUGGGGGCUGGAGGUAAGACGGGGUGAGCGUUGCAAAAGCUAGGCCAUCAGACUCCUUCAUUUCGGCAAGAUCCUUGGAAGUGAUGCCAGCAGGCAGCAUACAAGAUGACAGGUCUAGUGCCAUGCAGAGAUCAGCUGGAGGUGAAGUGUCACCGGUGAGCCAGACAUCUUCAGAGGUUAUGGGCACCGUCAGGUGCACCCCUGCCCCGGUGCAGCCCCCCACCCUGACUCAUUCCAGCCAACGGAUUGGC
Long non-coding RNA from Acinonyx jubatus (cheetah), 3929 nucleotides. RefSeq lists it as uncharacterized. The transcript is spliced from 3 exons. The record is from RefSeq and is a predicted model, not a curated record. NCBI's taxonomy places the organism in Eukaryota, Metazoa, Chordata, Mammalia, Carnivora, Felidae.